ACCCAAAAAAAAAAAAAAAAAAUCAAAUCAGCACAAAAUUAUAUAUAUAUAUGUAUAUAGUUACUAUGAGGUUGAGCUCAAAGGAUAGCGACUCGCCCACUCUGGGUCCUCUUAUAAAUGGAAGAUGGUGCGCGCUUUAGAUCUGCCGUGGGACUUCCGUCGAUGUAAAUUUGUAGCCUGAAAAUUGAGGUAGCUACUAUAGCUAUGGCGUCGCUCUUCAAAUCAAGCAAAAAAAAGAAAUUGGCCAAGUUACUGGAAAAAGUAGAUGAGAUAAUGGAAGAAAUACAUCGCAUGCAAAAACAGCAAGAUGAAACAAACGAGAAAAUCAACUUCGUCUGUCAUGCUCUCAGCAAUCAUCAACCUCUGGGGCCUGUGAUUGGAAAGCAGGAUGUCGUGAACCCACAUACACCUUCUCCUAGCAAGGGGAGGACAAAUGUUUCAGUAGAAAUUCCAUGUCCAGAAAUUAACGAGAAGAAGGGUACACCUUCGGACGACCGUAAGCGGCCGUCACCUUCGCAGAGGCAUAGUAAUAACAGUCAAAUUCAUGAUGCCUUUAGUAGAAGUGCAACCAUGCCAUCAUCAUCUUCAGGAUCAGGCACAUUUGUUGAAAACAAAAAACAUUCUCGCUCAAAAUCUUCUUCUAGCUUGCGCAUCUGACAUCUCUUCAUAAAAGUAGCUUUCCCUGAAGAUGAUCAAAAUCAUUAAUUUGUCUACCGAACAGUAAAAUCACUUAUAUUUUUUGCUACUACGUUUUUGUCUUUCAGACAUUUCAAAUAAAGUUUCUUCUUCUGAAUGAUA
RNAcentral lists this unclassified non-coding RNA (798 nucleotides) under Hevea brasiliensis (rubber tree). The record is from RNAcentral. Lineage: Eukaryota; Viridiplantae; Streptophyta; Magnoliopsida; Malpighiales; Euphorbiaceae.